This 466-nucleotide ribosomal RNA is filed under the name uncultured bacterium. RNAcentral's name for it is "partial 16S ribosomal RNA". It matches the Rfam family "Bacterial small subunit ribosomal RNA", at positions 29 to 507 of the family's 1533-position model. The record is from RNAcentral.
AUGAACGCUGGCGGCGUGCUUAACACAUGCAAGUCGAACGGAAAGGCCUCUGCUUGCAGGGGUACUCGAGUGGCGAACGGGUGAGUAACACGUGGGUGAUCUGCCCUGCACUUCGGGAUAAGCCUGGGAAACUGGGUCUAAUACCGGAUAGGACAAUGGUUUGGAUGCUGUUGUGGAAAGUUUUUCGGUGUGGGAUGAGCUCGCGGCCUGUCAGCUUGUUGGUGGGGUAAUGGCCUACCAAGGCGUCGACGGGUAGCCGGCCUGAGAGGGUGUACGGCCACAUUGGGACUGAGAUACGGCCCAGACUCCUACGGGAGGCAGCAGUGGGGAAUAUUGCACAAUGGGCGCAAGCCUGAUGCAGCGACGCCGCGUGGGGGAUGACGGCCUUCGGGUUGUAAACUCCUUUCGCUAGGGACGAAGCGUUUUUGUGACGGUACCUGGAGAAGAAGCACCGGCUAACUACGUG